AGAGUUUGAUCCUGGCUCAGAAUGAACGCUGGCGGCGUGCCUAACACAUGCAAGUCGGAUGUGCCGCAAGGUGCAUGGCAGACGGGUGAGUAACGCGUAGGGAAUCUACCUUUUUGUGGGGAAUAACGCUCCGAAAGGAGUGGUAAUACCGCAUGAGACCGUGGCCUGGGAUGGUUACGGUGAAACCUGGGGACCGCAAGGCCUGGGGCAAAGAGAGGAUCCUGCGUCUGAUUAGCUAGUUGGCGGGGUAAUGGCCCACCAAGGCGACGAUCAGUAGCCGGCCUGAGAGGGUGAUCGGCCACACUGGAACUGAGACACGGUCCAGACUCCUACGGGAGGCAGCAGUGGGGAAUUUUGCGCAAUGGACGAAAGUCUGACGCAGCAACGCCGCGUGGGUGAUGAAGGUCUUCGGACUGUAAAACCCUGUCGUCAGGGACGAAGGUUGAGGGGUUAAUAACCCUUCAGCUUGACGGUACCUGGAGAGGAAGCCCCGGCUAACUCUGUGCCAGCAGCCGCGGUAAUACGUAGGGCGCAAGCGUUAUCCGGAAUUAUUGGGCGUAAAGAGCUCGUAGGCGGUUUGUCGCGUCUGCCGUGAAAGUCCGGGGCUCAACUCCGGAUCUGCGGUGGGUACGGGCAGACUAGAGUGAUGUAGGGGAGACUGGAAUUCCUGGUGUAGCGGUGAAAUGCGCAGAUAUCAGGAGGAACACCGAUGGCGAAGGCAGGCCUCUGGGCAUUAACUGACGCUGAGGAGCGAAAGCAUGGGGAGCGAACAGGAUUAGAUACCCUGGUAGUCC
RNAcentral lists this ribosomal RNA (794 nucleotides) under uncultured bacterium. RNAcentral describes it as "bacterial SSU rRNA". It matches the Rfam family "Bacterial small subunit ribosomal RNA", at positions 8 to 796 of the family's 1533-position model. The record is from RNAcentral.